Dendroctonus ponderosae (mountain pine beetle) is the source of this 516-nucleotide long non-coding RNA. RefSeq lists it as uncharacterized. The record is from RefSeq and is a predicted model, not a curated record. Lineage: Eukaryota; Metazoa; Arthropoda; Insecta; Coleoptera; Curculionidae. The transcript has 2 exons.
UCGAUACGAGCAUUUGUUUACGUCCAGCAGCGCAUCCAUCGGGAGUCGCCCACCAACCCUGAGGAUGCAGGCCCCGAGGCAGUUGCAAGCGAAACGUUUGGUUUCAGUAAAUUUGGUGGCUGUCGGCAUAGCCUGCAGCAGCAGCCGCGGGUUGACCUCGCGCCUCCUGCGUGCGUGACGGCCCCCAUCGCCCCUGGGGGGCCACGCGAAGCUAGAAGGGGUUCGGGCAGGGGGCGAAGGCCUCGCGGGGCCCGUCGGACCGCGACAUCUGCACAACGCGUGAGGGUGACCCUCCCCCCCGUGCUCCGCCAACCCGCUCGCCCUUCUGGACGAUCGUCUUGCAGGAAGUGACGGUUUAUACAGGGUGUUUGUGAGGCAAAUUGCGCGCAAUAUUUUCUUCUAGAUGGUGCCGCAAAAGUGCCACUUUUGUUGUAUUUUGGAGGAGUUUUUCAGGUCGUGGUAAUUGCUUAUGGAAUGUUGUUUUGUCGGAAUGGAAUAGAAGCGGGGAAAUGUUAA